CCGAGCGCCCGCCCUCGUGGGCGGACCUCCCACCCCUGAUAUCCCUACCGUCGUUGCCUUGGCGGGCCGCCCGGCCGCGGCUGGCGCGCGCCCGCCAGGGGCCCACAGACACUGGAUGUUGGCGUCGUCCGAGUACCGUACAAUAGUCA
This 149-nucleotide unclassified non-coding RNA is filed under the name uncultured Leotiomycetes. RNAcentral's name for it is "sequence contains ITS1". The record is from RNAcentral. Lineage: Eukaryota; Fungi; Ascomycota; Leotiomycetes.